GUGGCAUCCGAUGCUGCAAAGGAAGCUGUGUGGUUACGAAAGUUCGUCAAUGACCUCAGAGUGGCAUCCUCCCUUGAUGGCCCCAUCUUGUUGUACGAUGACAGUACUGAUGCCAUCCUCAAGCAAAGGAACUGAAGUCAUAUCAGCAGACUAAGCACAUUCUGUGUCGCUACCAUCUGGUCUGAGAGAUUAUGGAUUGAGGUGACG
Molecule: long non-coding RNA, 207 nt
Filed under: Elaeis guineensis (African oil palm)
Lineage: Eukaryota; Viridiplantae; Streptophyta; Magnoliopsida; Arecales; Arecaceae
Description: long non-coding RNA (EGUI_LNC073648)
Source: RNAcentral